Molecule: long non-coding RNA, 372 nt
Organism: Carica papaya (papaya)
Lineage: Eukaryota; Viridiplantae; Streptophyta; Magnoliopsida; Brassicales; Caricaceae
Source: RefSeq, a predicted model, not a curated record
AAAGAAAAAACAAAGAGGAAGAGAAGAGGAGACGGCCGAGGGAGAUACAGGGGAGAAGUGAAGGAGACGACGAGGGAGAGUGAAAUCGCAAGAGGAAUUUGAAGGACCGAAAGAGUUGAGUGAGCCAUGGCUGAGGGAGAGGAAAUGGAGGCAAAAGAUGUGUUGGAUUCAAAGUCAAAAUCAAAAUGCAUAGCGAUGGAGGCCUACACUUAAGGAAAGCACGCUAGUAUAGGAUGCUUGUUUUAUAUAUAUGAGUACACACUAUAUCAACCUUGAAAUUAUAAUUGUUAUAAUAUCGAACUAUGUGAAUUGACAAUGUACUUUUUAGGUGUUUAAUGAACAUGAGGUGGUUAUUACUUUUGAAGAAUGAAA